AUUGAACGCUGGCGGCAGGCCUAACACAUGCAAGUCGAGCGGAUGAAGGGAGCUUGCUCCUGGAUUCAGCGGCGGACGGGUGAGUAAUGCCUAGGAAUCUGCCUGGUAGUGGGGGAUAACGUCCGGAAACGGGCGCUAAUACCGCAUACGUCCUGAGGGAGAAAGUGGGGGAUCUUCGGACCUCACGCUAUCAGAUGAGCCUAGGUCGGAUUAGCUAGUUGGUGGGGUAAAGGCCUACCAAGGCGACGAUCCGUAACUGGUCUGAGAGGAUGAUCAGUCACACUGGAACUGGAAAACGGUCCAGGCCCCUACGGGAGGCAGGAGGGGGGAAUAUUGGACAAGGGGGGAAAGCCUGAUCCAGCCAUGCCGGGUGGGUGAAGAAGGUUUUUGGAUUGUAAAGCACUUUAAGUUGGGGGGAAGGGAAGUAAGUUAAAACCUUUCUGUUUUGACGUUACCAACAAAAAAAGCCCCGGCUAACUGCUG
Molecule: ribosomal RNA, 483 nt
Filed under: uncultured bacterium
Lineage: Bacteria
Description: partial 16S ribosomal RNA
Rfam family: Bacterial small subunit ribosomal RNA
Source: RNAcentral